AACGAACGCUGGCGGCAUGCCUAACACAUGCGAGUCGAACGAGACCUUCGGGUCUAGUGGCGCACGGGUGCGUAACGCGUGGGAACCUGCCCUUAGGUUCGGAAUAACUCCCCGAAAGGGGUGCUAAUACCGGAUAAUGUCUUCGGACCAAAGAUUUAUCGCCUUUGGAUGGGCCCGCGUUGGAUUAGCUAGUUGGUAGGGUAAAAGCCUACCAAGGCGACGAUCCAUAGCUGGUCUGAGAGGAAGAUCAGCCACACUGGGACUGAGACACGGCCCAGACUCCUACGGGAGGCAGCAGUGGGGAAUAUUGGACAAUGGGCGAAAGCCUGAUCCAGCAAUGCCGCGUGAGUGAUGAAGGCCUUAGGGUUGUAAAGCUCUUUUACCCGGGAUGAUAAUGACAGUACCGGGAGAAUAAGCUCCGGCUAACUCCGUG
Molecule: ribosomal RNA, 433 nt
Filed under: uncultured bacterium
Lineage: Bacteria
Description: partial 16S ribosomal RNA
Rfam family: Bacterial small subunit ribosomal RNA
Source: RNAcentral